RNAcentral lists this ribosomal RNA (1243 nucleotides) under uncultured bacterium. Its description in RNAcentral is "bacterial SSU rRNA". It matches the Rfam family "Bacterial small subunit ribosomal RNA", at positions 66 to 1314 of the family's 1533-position model. The record is from RNAcentral.
GGGGCAGCACGUCUUCGGAUGGUGGCGACCGGCGCACGGGUGCGUAACGCGUAUACAACCUACCUUAUAGAGGGGGAUAGCCCAGGGAAACUUGGAUUAAUACCCCAUGGUAUUAUGGAUCAGCAUUGAUUUAUAAUUAAACAUUUAUGGCUAUAAGAUGGGUAUGCGUCCUAUUAGUUAGUUGGUAAGGUAACGGCUUACCAAGACGUCGAUAGGUAGGGGUCCUGAGAGGGAGAUCCCCCACACUGGUACUGAGACACGGACCAGACUCCUACGGGAGGCAGCAGUGAGGAAUAUUGGACAAUGGGCGAGAGCCUGAUCCAGCCAUGCCGCGUGCAGGAAGACGGCCCUAUGGGUUGUAAACUGCUUUUGUACGGGAAGAAACACCUCCUCGUGAGGAGGUUUGACGGUACCGUAAGAAUAAGGAUCGGCUAACUCCGUGCCAGCAGCCGCGGUAAUACGGAGGAUCCAAGCGUUAUCCGGAAUCAUUGGGUUUAAAGGGUCCGUAUGCGGGACAAUAAGUCAGCGGUGAAAGUCUGUGGCUCAACCAUAGAAUUGCCAUUGAUACUGUUGUUCUUGAAUACUUAUGAAGUGUUGGAAUAUGUAGUGUAGCGGUGAAAUGCAUAGAUWUACAUAGACACCGAUUGCGAAGGCAGAUCACUAAUAAGUCAUUGACGCUGAUGGACGAAAGCGUAGGUAGCGAACAGGAUUAGAUACCGUGGUAGUCUACGCCGUAAACGAUGGUUACUAGCUGUUUGGCCCGAUUGAGGGCUGAGUGGCUAAGCGAAAGUGAUAAGUAACCCACCUGGGGAGUACGUUCGCAAGAAUGAAACUCAAAGGAAUUGACGGGGGCCCGCACAAGCGGUGGAGCAUGUGGUUUAAUUCGAUGAUACGCGAGGAACCUUACCAGGGCUUAAAUGUAGUCUGACAGGGGUGGAAACACCCUUUUCUUCGGACAGAUUACAAGGUGCUGCAUGGUUGUCGUCAGCUCGUGCCGUGAGGUGUCAGGUUAAGUCCUAUAACGAGCGCAACCCCUGUUGUUAGUUGCCAGCACAUAAUGGUGGGAACUCUAACAAGACUGCCGGUGCAAACCGCGAGGAAGGUGGGGAUGACGUCAAAUCAUCACGGCCCUUACGUCCUGGGCCACACACGUGCUACAAUGGUAAGGACAGAGAGCAGCCACUACACGAGUAGGAGCGAAUCUAUAAACCUUAUCACAGUUCGGAUCGGAGUCUGCAACUCG